RNAcentral lists this ribosomal RNA (475 nucleotides) under unidentified nematode Sourhope farm. RNAcentral's name for it is "SSU rRNA". It matches the Rfam family "Eukaryotic small subunit ribosomal RNA", at positions 58 to 529 of the family's 1831-position model. Lineage: Eukaryota; Metazoa; Nematoda. The record is from RNAcentral.
UCUAAGUAUAACCUGCCAGACAGGGAAACUGCGUACGGCUCAUUACACCAGCCUUAAUUUACUUGACCUUGACAACCUACUUGGAUAACUGUGGUAAUUCUAGAGCUAAUACAUGCACCAAAGCUCCGAUCCUCGCGGAGAGGAGCGCAUUUGUUCGCCACAAAACCAAGCGCCCAUCUGGGCGUCCAGUGCUGAACCAGAACAACUCAGCUGAUCGCACGGUCUUGUACCGGCGACGUGUCUUUCAAGUGUCUGCCUUAUCAACUUUCGAUGGUAGUGUACCUGACUACCAUGGUUGUGACGGGUAACGGAGGAUAAGGGUUCGACUCCGGAGAAGGGGCCUGAGAAAUGGCCACUACGUCUAAGGAUGGCAGCAGGCGCGCAAAUUACCCACUCUCAACGCGAGGAGGUAGUGACGAGAAAUAACGAGACCGUUCUCAUACGAGGCCGGUUAUUGGAAUGGGUACAAUUUAAU